Molecule: ribosomal RNA, 251 nt
Filed under: uncultured bacterium
Lineage: Bacteria
Description: partial 16S ribosomal RNA
Rfam family: Bacterial small subunit ribosomal RNA
Source: RNAcentral
UACAGAGGGGCAAGCGUUGUUCGGAAUUACUGGGCGUAAAGGGCGCGUAGGCGGAUAGUUUAGUUGGGGUGAAAGCCCGGGCUCAACCUCGGAACUGCCUUCAAUACUGGCUAUCUUGAGUACGGGAGAGGUGUGUGGAACUCCGAGUGUAGAGGUGAAAUUCGUAGAUAUUCGGAAGAACACCAGUGGCGAAGGCGACACACUGGCCCGUUACUGACGCUGAGGCGACGAAAGCGUGGGGAGCAAACAGG